CACGUAGGAGGCGAGCGUUGUCCGGAAUUAUUGGGCGUAAAGCGCGCGCAGGUGGUUUCUUAAGUCUGAUGUGAAAGCCCACGGCUCAACCGUGGAGGGUCAUUGGAAACUGGGGAACUUGAGCGCAGAAGAGGAAAGUGGAAUUCCAAGUGUAGCGGUGAAAUGCGUAGAGAUUUGGAGGAACACCAGUGGCGAAGGCGACUUUCUGGUCUGUAACUGACACUGAGGCGCGAAAGCGUGGGGAGCGAACAGG
Molecule: ribosomal RNA, 253 nt
Filed under: uncultured bacterium
Lineage: Bacteria
Description: partial 16S ribosomal RNA
Rfam family: Bacterial small subunit ribosomal RNA
Source: RNAcentral